ACUCCUACGGGAGCAGCAGUGGGGAAUAUUGCACAAUGGGCGCAAGCCUGAUGCAGCCAUGCCGCGUGUAUGAAGAAGGCCUUCGGGUUGUAAAGUACUUUCAGCAGUGAGGAAGGUGGGUAUGUUAAUAGCAUAUUCAUUUGACGUUAGCUGCAGAAGAAGCACCGGCUAACUCGUGCCAGCAGCCGCGGUAAUACGGAGGGUGCGAGCGUUAAUCGGAAUUACUGGGCGUAAAGCGCAUGCAGGUGGUUUGUUAAGUCAGAUGUGAAAGCCCGGGGCUCAACCUCGGAAUUGCAUUUGAAACUGGCAAACUAGAGUACUGUAGAGGGGGGUAGAAUUUCAGGUGUAGCGGUGAAAUGCGUAGAGAUCUGAAGGAAUACCGGUGGCGAAGGCGGCCCCCUGGACAGAUACUGACACUCAGAUGCGAAAGCGUGGGGAGCAAACAGGAUUAGAUACCCUGGUAGCGUAA
RNAcentral lists this ribosomal RNA (469 nucleotides) under uncultured bacterium. RNAcentral describes it as "bacterial SSU rRNA". It matches the Rfam family "Bacterial small subunit ribosomal RNA", at positions 335 to 798 of the family's 1533-position model. The record is from RNAcentral.